GUGGGUAUAGCUCAGUGGUAGAGCAGGUGUUUAGCAUGCACAAGGUCUUGGAUUCAAUUCCCAGUACCUCCA
Molecule: transfer RNA, 72 nt
Filed under: Camelus bactrianus (Bactrian camel)
Lineage: Eukaryota; Metazoa; Chordata; Mammalia; Artiodactyla; Camelidae
Also listed under: 2 other names
Rfam family: tRNA
About the family: Transfer RNA (tRNA) molecules are approximately 80 nucleotides in length. Their secondary structure includes four short double-helical elements and three loops (D, anti-codon, and T loops).
Source: Rfam by way of RNAcentral